This 279-nucleotide ribosomal RNA is filed under the name uncultured bacterium. RNAcentral describes it as "partial 16S ribosomal RNA". It matches the Rfam family "Bacterial small subunit ribosomal RNA", at positions 506 to 784 of the family's 1533-position model. The record is from RNAcentral.
UGCCAGCCGCCGCGGUAAGACGGGAGAUGCAAGCGUUAUUCGGAUUUAUUGGGCGUAAAGGGUCUGUAGGUUGUUGGUUAAGUCUAUGGUCAAAUUCCGAAGCUCAACUUCGGGCCGGCACUAGAAACUAAUCAACUUGAGUACGUUAGAGGCAGGGGGAAUUCCCAGUGUAGCGGUGGAAUGCGUAGAUAUGACACAGAACGCCAAUUGCGAAGGCAGCUUACUAAGCCAUGGUUGACGCUGAGGCACGAAAGCGUGGGGAGCGAACAGGAUUAGAUA